UGGCUCAGACGGUAAAGCGUCUGUCUGUAAUGCAGAAGGCCCAGGUUCGAUCCCUGG
This is a non-coding RNA of Bos taurus (domestic cattle), 57 nucleotides long. The record is from Rfam. Lineage: Eukaryota; Metazoa; Chordata; Mammalia; Artiodactyla; Bovidae.